This 382-nucleotide ribosomal RNA is filed under the name uncultured bacterium. RNAcentral's name for it is "bacterial SSU rRNA". It matches the Rfam family "Bacterial small subunit ribosomal RNA", at positions 30 to 413 of the family's 1533-position model. The record is from RNAcentral.
AUUGAACGCUGGCGGCAUGCCUUACACAUGCAAGUCGAACGGCAGCGGGCCUUCGGGUGCCGGCGAGUGGCGAACGGGUGAGUAAUGCAUCGGAACGUGCCAUUGAGUGGGGGAUAACGUAGCGAAAGUUACGCUAAUACCGCAUAUUCUGUGAGCAGGAAAGCAGGGGACCGCAAGGCCUUGCGCUCUUUGAGCGGCCGAUGUCAGAUUAGCUAGUUGGUGAGGUAAAGGCUUACCAAGGCGACGAUCUGUAGCGGGUCUGAGAGGAUGAUCCGCCACACUGGAACUGAGACACGGUCCAGACUCCUACGGGAGGCAGCAGUGGGGAAUUUUUGGACAAUGGGCGCAAGCCUGAUCCAGCCAUGCCGCGUGAGUGAAGAAG